This 404-nucleotide ribosomal RNA is filed under the name uncultured prokaryote. RNAcentral describes it as "bacterial SSU rRNA". It matches the Rfam family "Bacterial small subunit ribosomal RNA", at positions 355 to 774 of the family's 1533-position model. The record is from RNAcentral.
UGAGGAAUCUUCCACAAUGGGGGCAACCCUGAUGGAGCAACGCCGCGUGCAGGAUGAAGGCCUUCGGGUCGUAAACUGCUUUUAUAAGUGAUGAAUAUGACAGUAGCUUAUGAAUAAGGAUCGGCUAACUACGUGCCAGCAGCCGCGGUCAUACGUAGGAUCCGAGCGUUAUCCGGAGUGACUGGGCGUAAAGAGUUGCGUAGGUGGUUUAAUAAGUGAAUAGUGAAAUCUGGUGGCUCAACCAUUCAGACCGUUAUUCAAACUGUUAAACUCGAGAACAGCAGAGGUAACUGGAAUUUCUUGUGUAGGAGUGAAAUCCGUAGAUAUAAGAAGGAACACCAAUGGCGUAGGCAGGUUACUGGGCUGUUUCUGACACUGAGGCACGAAAGCGUGGGGAGCGAACC